Molecule: long non-coding RNA, 229 nt
Filed under: Chinchilla lanigera (long-tailed chinchilla)
Lineage: Eukaryota; Metazoa; Chordata; Mammalia; Rodentia; Chinchillidae
Description: lncRNA (ENSCLAG00000023820.1)
Source: RNAcentral
CCUGCCUCAGCCUCCUAAGUGCUGGGACUACAGAUAUGUGCCACCACACCCCGAUUUAUAUUAUACCCUAACACAUUUAUUUUCGUCUACGGUGGCAUCUACAUUUUUGUCAAAGCCAGUGUCCACCCAAGUAAAAGUGACAGCCCAUCCGUGGGCUUUCCGGCAUUCCCUUCACUCCCUUCCUGGAGGUGCAGGACUUGCUGGUGGCUGAGACUCACGAGGUUCCCAG